Molecule: ribosomal RNA, 159 nt
Filed under: uncultured Sphingobacterium sp.
Lineage: Bacteria; Pseudomonadati; Bacteroidota; Sphingobacteriia; Sphingobacteriales; Sphingobacteriaceae
Description: partial 16S ribosomal RNA
Rfam family: Bacterial small subunit ribosomal RNA
Source: RNAcentral
UCAAUGGACGCAAGUCUGAACCAGCCAUGCCGCGUGGAGGAUGAAGGUCCUCUGGAUUGUAAACUUCUUUUAUCUGGGAAGAAACCCGACUUUUCUAAGGCGGUUGACGGUACCAGAUGAAUAAGCACCGGCUAACUCCGUGCCAGCAGCCGCGGUAAU